Molecule: small RNA, 3096 nt
Filed under: Pan troglodytes (chimpanzee)
Lineage: Eukaryota; Metazoa; Chordata; Mammalia; Primates; Hominidae
Description: processed transcript
Source: RNAcentral
AUACCUAGCUCCAAGAUCUUGGUUGCUAACACCAUUCUCCAAUAAAACGAACCAGGGAUUGCUGGAGAAAUAGCUGAUUCUAAAACUAGGGCAGAAAGUAUACAAGAUGAGCCUGGAGCAUCUUGUAGAGUCAGAGAGCAAUGCAGAACUUUAUACAUACAGUGAUGUGAGAUGGGCAUGCAGAGGGAAGAUGUUCCCAGUGGCUGAAGCUGAAACAGUGUGAGCAACAAAAUAAAGCAGUGUUGGAUCACAACCCAAAGAAUAAAAUAAAUAUCCUCGAGCCCACACCGAUAUAAAUAAAUGAUUGAAUCAAUAAAUGAGUCCAGGCACUGUGGCUCAUGCCUGUAAUCCUGCACUUUGGGAGGCCAAGGCGGGCGGAUCACUUGAGGUCAGGAGUUCGAGACCAGCCUGGCAAACAUGGUGAAACCCCGUCUCUACUAAAAAUACAAAAAUUAGCCAGGCAUGGUGGCACAUGCCUAUAAUCCCAGCUACUCAGGAGGUGAGGCAGGAGAAUCACUUGAACCCGGGAGGCAGAAAUUGCAAUGAGCCAAGAUCGCAGGACUGCACUCCAGCCUAGGCGACAGAGUAAGACUCCAUCUCAAAAAAAAAAAAAAAAAAAAAAAGAGGGAUGGACAAGACAAAUCUCUUGUAAAAAAAAUUACAAGUAAUUUUUAUAGAAGCUCUGCCCUGAGGGAGGGGGAGCGUGACUUCUCACUCCUUUAGUGUGGGCUGCACAAGUGACUUCCUUCCAUAUGGGAUCGUUAUAACAAAAGACUGUAACAAAGGCUAUGGGAGUUAUAAGACAGGAAUUGUGGACAAAAACCAGUGUAUAUCAUAACAUCACACCUUGUAAUGUUGGCAGUACAGUCACUGACCUUUGAUAAAUGUUGAUGACAUGUUGAGUAAAGGAAUGAGAGAAAGAGGAUUGUUUAUCUCUGUUUUUAUCCUUCUCAGAGAAACUUUGGGUAACUGAAGUGUGUUAUCAGCCAUGCUGAUGCCUUUGGUAAACUAUUGUGUGAAUACGGUUGUUUUGAAUUGGUCAGUAGAAACUGGGCUGCCAGGCGCAGCCGGUAAGCAUUUCCAUGUGAGCCUUAGGGGAGAAGUGCAUUUGGUAGGAGCAUCAAAAUAGCUUCUGAUAUUUCAUUAAAAGUUUGGGUUCGUCUGGUUCCUUCAUUAGUAUAUGUCACUUCCUUUGACCUUCAGUGUCUAUUGAACCAUGUGAUUUUAGAAAGCAAGGGAUUGCUUGACAUCUCCAGGCUGUGAAGACUAAAGUUCACAGGAAAAGACUACAAGGAAAUUUAAACAGUUUUAUUAUUUUCCCCCUCAUUUCUUAAUUUUCCUGCCACUACUCAGUACUGUGUGGGUCCAGGAUCACAAUUAGGGAAGACAGAGUAGCUCAGAAAUCAGUAGUGAGGAGGAGGACAGCACUUUGUGUGGUAUCUUGCUCUAGGAGCAUUUUCAAGCCAUCAGAAAUGGGACUCUUGAAGACUAUUUCUGACUUUCUCAGCACAAAUUAAGAUAAUAGGAGAUGGAGGCUCCAUUUGAAAAACAUUGUGGUUGUAUAAUGGUUAGCAUAAAACAUACUUUUUUCAAGUUAACUCAGGUACUAGAGUAUGGGGGGCGGGGGGAAAUGUACUGCAGCAUUAAUGAAAACUAGAGCUGGGAGAAUGUGUUUUUCCUUGAGUAAAUUGCAAAUGCCAGUGCACCGCAUUUGACCAGGAGGGAAGAAUGAGAGGCCCUGGUAGCAAAGCCAGUGGAAGAAGUUUUACUAGGAGCAGUUGUAUCAUUCGUGUACUUUUUUUGUGUCAUACAAGUGAGAGUGAAAUGGUCCAUGUCUGUGUUUUGAGGAAUUUUUUGCCUUUCUUUUCAGAAACUAAUUCUGAAGCAAGCCCUUAUUGUUGUGCUGCAGUGGUGUUUCAAUCACAAUUUUAGUGUUCGACUGUAUGCUUUAGUUGCUCUUAAGAAACUCUGGACUGUGUGUAAAGUGUUAAGUGUUGAAGAAUUUGAUGCCCUGACUCCUGUGAUUGAAUCCAGCCUCCAUCAAGUGGAAAGCAUGCACGGAGCAGGGAAUGCCAAGAAGAAUUGGCAACGCAUUCAAGAGCAUUUCUUUUUUGCAGCAUUUCACCCACUCAAGGAUUAUUGUCUAGAGGCAGUGUCUGGCUUGUAAACAAUGGAAGGGAAUAUUUAACUCUAAACAGAAAUCUGUUCUGACAUUAAAAGGAAAUGAGUGAGAACAUUUGUGCAGGUACUAAUUUGGUCGAAGCAGAUAACCAAGCGGAGUGGACCGACGUUCAGAAGAAGAUUAUCCCGUGGAACAGUCGUGUUCCCGACUUAGACCUGGAGCUCCUGUUUCAGGAUCGUGCUGCCAGACUUGGAAAGUCAAUUAGUAGGCUCAUCGUCGUGGCCUCGCUCAUCGACAAACCGACCAAUUUAGGAGGACCUGUGAGGUAUUUGGGGCUUCAGUGCUCGUUGUUGGCAGCCUUCAGUGUAUCAGCGACAAACAGUUUCAGCACCUCAGUGUCUCUGCAGAACAGUGGCUUCCUCUAGUGGAGGUAAAACCACCUCAGCUAAUUGACUAUCUGCAGCAGAAGAAAACAGAAGGUUAUACCAUCAUUGGAGUGGAACAAACUGCCAGAAGUUUAGACCUAACCCAAUAUUGCUUUCCUGAGAAAUCUCUACUCUUGUUGGGAAAUGAACGUGAGGGAAUUCCAGCAAAUCUGAUCCAACAGUUGGACGUUUGUGUGGAAAUUCCUCAACAGGGCAUUAUCCGCUCCCUGAACGUCCACGUGAGUGGAGCCCUGCUGAUCUGGGAGUACACCAGGCAGCAGCUGCUCUCGCACGGAGAUACCAAGCCAUGAUGUGCCUUCCUCAGUGAACUGCUGCUGCUGUUCAGACUUUUUUUAAAAAAACUAUUUGGACUAAAGAAACAGAUUCUGAAAUUUAUUGUGAUAAUUUGUAUUUCUUUUUUCUUGCAAUUUAAUGCCAAAAGUUUGCCAUGUGCCUUAAACAUAUUACUAUAUAUUUUCCCCUUUAAUAAACACUUUUUGUUAAAUUGUAUUCUUCCUUUAAUAAAAUAUUUUAAGCAAUUGUGGAAAU